Molecule: small nuclear RNA, 111 nt
Filed under: Scophthalmus maximus (turbot)
Lineage: Eukaryota; Metazoa; Chordata; Actinopteri; Pleuronectiformes; Scophthalmidae
Description: U5 spliceosomal RNA (ENSSMAG00000028477.1)
Rfam family: U5 spliceosomal RNA
About the family: U5 RNA is a component of both types of known spliceosome. The precise function of this molecule is unknown, though it is known that the 5' loop is required for splice site selection and p220 binding, and that both the 3' stem-loop and the Sm site are important for Sm protein binding and cap methylation.
Source: RNAcentral
UGACUCUGGUUUCUCUUCAUAACGCACAAGUCUUUCGCCUUUUACUAAAGACUUCCGUGGAGAGGAACAGCCAUGAGUUUAAGAUAUUUUGGCAGAUGCUGAAUGGCCGAG